Molecule: ribosomal RNA, 379 nt
Filed under: uncultured bacterium
Lineage: Bacteria
Description: bacterial SSU rRNA
Rfam family: Bacterial small subunit ribosomal RNA
Source: RNAcentral
UAAUACGUAGGGACCAAGCGUUGUCCGGAAUUAUUGGGCGUAAAGAGCUCGUAGGCGGCUGUCCACGUCGGGUGUGAAAGCUCAGGGCUCAACCCUGAGAUGCCAUUCGAUACGGGACGGCUAGAGGUAGGUAGGGGAAAGUGGAAUUCCUGGUGUAGCGGUGAAAUGCGCAGAUAUCAGGAGGAACACCGGUGGCGAAGGCGGCUUUCUGGGCCUUACCUGACGCUGAGGAGCGAAAGCUGGGGGAGCAAACAGGAUUAGAUACCCUGGUAGUCCCAGCCGUAAACGUUGGGCGCUAGGUGUGGGGAGGUCUUCAACCCUUUCCGUGCCGCAGCUAACGCAUUAAGCGCCCCGCCUGGGGAGUACGGUCGCAAGACUA